GACAGAGGUGGCAAGCGUUGUUCGGAUUCAUUGGGUGUAAAGGGCAGGUAGGUGGUCUAGCAAGUCUGACGUGAAAUCCCAGGGCUCAACCCUGGAACUGCGUUGGAAACUGCAUGACUUGAGUACUGGAGAGGUGUGGGGAAUUCUCGGUGUAAGGGUGAAAUCUGUAGAUAUCGAGAGGAACACCAGUGGCGAAGGCGCCACACUGGCCGGUUACUGACACUGAGCUGCGAAAGCAAGGGGAGCAAACAGG
RNAcentral lists this ribosomal RNA (253 nucleotides) under uncultured bacterium. RNAcentral describes it as "partial 16S ribosomal RNA". It matches the Rfam family "Bacterial small subunit ribosomal RNA", at positions 524 to 776 of the family's 1533-position model. The record is from RNAcentral.